This 84-nucleotide transfer RNA is filed under the name Candidatus Woesearchaeota archaeon. Its description in RNAcentral is "tRNA-Leu". It matches the Rfam family "tRNA". Rfam says of the family: Transfer RNA (tRNA) molecules are approximately 80 nucleotides in length. Their secondary structure includes four short double-helical elements and three loops (D, anti-codon, and T loops). The record is from RNAcentral. Lineage: Archaea; Nanobdellati; Candidatus Woesearchaeota.
GCGGGGGUGCCGGAGUGGUCAAACGGGGCAGGUUCAGGGCCUGCUGGCUCAGUGCCUACGAGGGUUCGAAUCCCUUCCCCCGCA